GCUGGCGGCAGGCCUAACACAUGCAAGUCGAGCGCACCUUCGGGUGAGCGGCGGACGGGUUAGUAACGCGUGGGAACGUACCCUUUUCUACGGAAUAGCCUUUGGAAACGAAGAGUAAUACCGUAUACGCCCUUUGGGGGAAAGGUUUAUCGGAGAAGGAUCGGCCCGCGUUAGAUUAGAUAGUUGGUGGGGUAACGGCCUACCAAGUCUACGAUCUAUAGCUGGUUUUAGAGGAUGAUCAGCAACACUGGGACUGAGACACGGCCCAGACUCCUACGGGAGGCAGCAGUGGGGAAUCUUAGACAAUGGGCGCAAGCCUGAUCUAGCCAUGCCGCGUGAGUGAUGAAGGCCUUAGGGUCGUAAAGCUCUUUCGCCUGUGAUGAUAAUGACAGUAGCAGGUAAAGAAACCCCGGCUAACUCCGUGCCAGCAGCCGCGGUAAUACGGAGGGGGUUAGCGUUGUUCGGAAUUACUGGGCGUAAAGCGCACGUAGGCGGAUUGGAAAGUUGGGGGUGAAAUCCCGGGGCUCAACCCCGGAACUGCCUCCCAAACUAUCAGUCUAGAGUUCGAGAGAGGUGAGUGGAAUUCCCAGUGUAGAGGUGAAAUUCGUAGAUAUUUGGGAGGACGCCAGUGGCGAAGGCGGCUCACUGGCUCGAUACUGACGCUGAGGUGCGAAAGUGUGGGAAGCAACCAGGAUUAGAUACCCUGGUAGUCCAC
RNAcentral lists this ribosomal RNA (715 nucleotides) under uncultured marine bacterium. Its description in RNAcentral is "bacterial SSU rRNA". It matches the Rfam family "Bacterial small subunit ribosomal RNA", at positions 35 to 798 of the family's 1533-position model. The record is from RNAcentral.